Molecule: unclassified non-coding RNA, 148 nt
Organism: Pongo abelii (Sumatran orangutan)
Lineage: Eukaryota; Metazoa; Chordata; Mammalia; Primates; Hominidae
Rfam family: Metazoan signal recognition particle RNA
About the family: The signal recognition particle (SRP) is a universally conserved ribonucleoprotein. It is involved in the co-translational targeting of proteins to membranes. The eukaryotic SRP consists of a 300-nucleotide 7S RNA and six proteins: SRPs 72, 68, 54, 19, 14, and 9.
Source: Ensembl
GCUGGGCAUGGUGGCGAGUGCCUGUAAUCCCAGCCACUCAGGAGGCUGAGGCAGGAGAAUCACUUGAACCCGGGAGGCGGAGGUUGCAGUGAGCUGAGAUUGCGCCAUUGCAUCCCAGCCUGGGUGACAAAGUGAGACUCCGUCUCAA